RNAcentral lists this ribosomal RNA (274 nucleotides) under uncultured bacterium. RNAcentral's name for it is "partial 16S ribosomal RNA". It matches the Rfam family "Bacterial small subunit ribosomal RNA", at positions 523 to 796 of the family's 1533-position model. The record is from RNAcentral.
GUACGGAGGGUCCAAGCGUUAUCCGGAUUCAUUGGGUUUAAAGGGUCCGCAGGCGGGAGAAUAAGUCAGUGGUGAAAGCCUACAGCUCAACUGUAGAACUGCCAUUGAUACUGUUUUUCUUGAGUAUAGAUGAAGUGGGCGGAAUAUAUCAUGUAGCGGUGAAAUGCAUAGAUAUGAUAUAGAACACCGAUUGCGAAGGCAGCUCACUAAACUAUUACUGACGCUCAGGGACGAAAGCGUGGGGAGCGAACAGGAUUAGAAACCCUAGUAGUCC